UUUCUGAAGAAAACAGAGAACAAGUUAAAGGGGAUUCAAAGCUACAUAGUAAUUAGACCCUCCUUAGAGCUGGAAGAAGUCAGGUGGCCUUUAUAAACAUUCUCUAAAUAUUUAAACCAUUGUGGAUAGAUGGACUCUUUAAAAUUAUAACAAUAAUACCUUCAAUUUAUAUAAUUUUGUCCUAGAAGAACUUGUGUAAAAAAGGAAUAAUUUAUUCUAAAAUAAUUUAAAGGACUAGAAUAAAUGACACCUAUUAAUAUCUGCCAGUGUUUUGUCAUAAUGUUAUGAUGAUAAGCAUUCUAAGAACUGAAUAUAAGCCAUGAACUGAUGAGAUCAUAGGUUCUCAUAGGGACAAAUCCACAUCUAAUUUGGAUCCCAUCCAGAACUGAUGAGCCUUCUUGCCCAGCCUUAACUUGGAGACAGAGAAAAGAAUGUGAUGGGCUUGGGAGGAAAAAGCAUUCAAAAGCCACCUUGAGAUGUUUUGCAUUCCAGGUGUGGUUUUGUGUGUAGCUUUUUCCUGGAGUCUCCCCCGCACCCCAGGCAAGACCUUCUAUCCAUCUUUCCCAGUUUGAACUGCCUCAAGGCCAGAUGCACAGCUGUCAUCCUGGGACUUCUUUUCACCUUCUUGGUUCAUUCCCAUGUUUCACUGGAAUACAUCCCCAAGAAAUUUUUAAAGAAACGGUGUAUGGGAGCAUCUCAAGAGGAAGAAGAGAUAAAUAUAUGAUUGUUUCACCAAACUGACCUCUAAUAAAUCAAGCUCUUCAUCAGAACCUGUCUUUGCUCUGCCCAGAUCCUUGUUACUCAUUAUCAUUAACUCAGCUUUCUUUGGAUUGCCUGAUUUUGCUCUAUAUGAUCCAGUAUCUUCACUCAAUUGCUCAGGUUUGCCAUUAUUCUUCUCGGUACGGAGAAAUUCCUUCUUGUACUAUAAAACAGGUCUGAAAAUUACUGUUUGGUGUUUAGGAUUAGUGAUUAUUAUGCUGACAACUAUAACUCAACUGUAGUAAAAUUAUUAUUUCCUUUAUAUCCUCUCAUAGAAAUGAAAGUGGUGAGUAAUUAGCUGUGUGUUUGGUGUGGGGUCUAGGGGAGUGAGAAAGGAAGGAGAGGACCAAGUCAUAAUUUUCAUUAAAUAGAGCAUCUAGAAGGUUAUUAAGAAUGAUGAAGUUUUAUUUUUUUAAAAAAGACUUAUUUAUUUAUUUGACAGAGAGAGCAUGAGAGGAAGGAAUAGAGGGAGAGAGAAUCUCAAGCAGGCUCCACACUGAGUGCAGAGCCCUACCUGGGGCUCAGUCUCAUGAUGCUGAGAUCACGACCUGAGCCAAAACCAAGAGUCAGACACUUAACAGACUGUGCCGCCCAGGUGCCCUGAUAAACCUUUCUCCAUCAUCAGUAAAGAUAGCCAAGAAGAAAUAGGUUUCAGUUGCAAUAUGAUCAGUUUUUUAGAAAAAACUAGAAAAUAUUUCUGAAUGAGAAAGAAUUUCUGUAGAAAAUCAUGUAAUUUCAUUUCUUUAAAAAUAAUAUCGGGACUCAUUUUGUUUUCAGUAAGUAUUUAAAUGUGAUCCAAAUUAGAAGCAGAAGUAUGGACUAGAAGUCCUAUCUAGCUUCUUCUCCUAGGAUGACGAUGAAAAAUAACAACAGUAAUGGUAAUCAGUAUGUUUUAUUGAGUAUUUGCAGUGUGCCAGCUUCUGGGCUAAGUACUUUACAUGCCAAUCUCAUUUAAUUCCUACAACAGGCCUAUGAGGUAAGAAAUAUUAGUAUUUCUACUUGACAGAGAAACCCAUUAUCCCAGAUCCCUAAAGUAAUAGAUUCAGAUCUGGGUCUGUUUGACCACAAGAUGCUUGCUUUCAAGAUGCCACAUGAAUUUGUCUCUUCUAGGAUGCUGUGAUUUUCAUUUUCAAAAUCAAUGCCUUUAUCUAGGACCACUAUGCCCUUAUUGUUCUAAGUAAUACUUGUAAUUGUUGUUUUUAGUGAUUUGUUCUUUACCCUGCAUUAUUAUAUCAUCGAAUCAGAUUGAGGUGAUGAUGCCUCUACUUCUAAAAUUUGAACUAGUUUUCUAUUGUCAUAAAAAUGUGCCGUCUUCCAACUGUUUUUCAAAGUCAGAUGACUUGUCAGUACUUAUACAGAAUACCCUUAAGACUCUGUAUCCACUGUGAAGCUUAGCUACUGUCCUGAAUGGACAGUUUCAGAAAAUGACUUUCUGGCCCAACCCCAUGACAGUCUGUCAACUCUUAACAGCCUUGUGGGAGUGCUGGCAGAUGGCAAUCAGAGCAGGUGAGCACUUCCUCAUAAGGACACUCUUCACAGUAGUCUUUAAAAAUUGUGGCUGCUUCAUGUAGGGUAAAAAAAUCGGGUAAAAGAAAAACCUUUAUCCCACGGAGUCUUUAGAUAGAUUCAAUCUUAUUUUACAAUACUCAGCUAUAUGUUUAU
Molecule: long non-coding RNA, 2421 nt
Organism: Canis lupus familiaris (dog)
Lineage: Eukaryota; Metazoa; Chordata; Mammalia; Carnivora; Canidae
Exons: 3
Source: RefSeq, a predicted model, not a curated record